This 254-nucleotide ribosomal RNA is filed under the name uncultured bacterium. RNAcentral's name for it is "partial 16S ribosomal RNA". It matches the Rfam family "Bacterial small subunit ribosomal RNA", at positions 526 to 779 of the family's 1533-position model. The record is from RNAcentral.
CGGAGGGUGCAAGCGUUGUUCGGAAUUAUUGGGCGUAAAGCGCACGUAGGCGGCUCUUUAAGUCUCGCUGUGAAAGCCUGCGGCUCAACCGCAGGAGGCCAGGGGAUACUGGAGGGCUGGAGAUAGGUAGAGGCGAGCGGAAUUCCGGGUGUAGCGGUGGAAUGCGUAGAGAUCCGGAAGAACACCAGAGGCGAAGGCGGCUCGCUGGACCUCAUCUGACGCUGAGGUGCGAAAGCGUGGGAGCAAACAGGAUU